AACGAACGCUGGCGGCAUGCCUAACACAUGCAAGUCGAACGAGACCUUCGGGUCUAGUGGCGCACGGGUGCGUAACGCGUGGGAACCUGCCCUUAGGUUCGGAAUAACUCCCCGAAAGGGGUGCUAAUACCGGAUAAUGUCUUCGGACCAAAGAUUUAUCGCCUUUGGAUGGGCCCGCGUUGGAUUAGCUAGUUGGUAGGGUAAAAGCCUACCAAGGCGACGAUCCAUAGCUGGUCUGAGAGGAUGAACAGCCACACUGGGACUGAGACACGGCCCAGACUCCUACGCGAGGGAGGAGUGGUGAAUAAUGGACAAUAGGCGAAAGCCUGAUCCAGCAAUGCCGCGUGAGUGAUGAAGGCCUUAGGGUUGUAAAGCUCUUUUACCCGGGAUGAUAAUGACAGUACCGGGAGAAUCAGCUCCGGCUAACUCCGUG
Molecule: ribosomal RNA, 433 nt
Filed under: uncultured bacterium
Lineage: Bacteria
Description: partial 16S ribosomal RNA
Rfam family: Bacterial small subunit ribosomal RNA
Source: RNAcentral